This 939-nucleotide long non-coding RNA is filed under the name Trifolium pratense (red clover). Its description in RNAcentral is "long non-coding RNA (TPRA_LNC007491)". Lineage: Eukaryota; Viridiplantae; Streptophyta; Magnoliopsida; Fabales; Fabaceae. The record is from RNAcentral.
AAAUAAUUAAAUAACGAAUAAUAAAUUUCGGGUCGUUACAACUCUCCCCCACUUAAAAGAUUUUCGCCCUCGAAAAUUACCCGACUUAAAACAACUCCGGAUAACUCUUUUAUCCGAUUUCCAACAAAAGACUUCAAACUCCACGUAUUAAUAAGUUUGACAAAAUUAGUCUAUCCCAACCAACACAAUCUCGUCUAUUACCAACAAUAGAUCAAGGACAGCUAAUCCCUCGAUUUGUCGAUAGAUAGUCAACAAUCAUGAUGUCGGUAUAAACCAUCCUUAUCAAACCACCAAAACGUCCACUUAAUAUCUUACGGUACUCACUGCACCACUCAAAACAAACUCUAAUCAGUCUAAUACACCUUGAAAAGACGUUUUCGUUGAAUACCUUACAACUUUUCAAGUUCCAUAAGUCCUCAACUUUUCUUCAAUCACUUAACUGCGUCGAAUCUUAUUCCAAUCAUUUAGUCGACAACACAACCUCAACAUUUCUUCGUUGAUCAACUCCUCAAAUUUUUUCUUGACACUUAUCAAAUUCACCACCUCUAACCGUUAAAUUCUUAGAUCACGUAACAUAACAUUCCCAAUGUCGCUUUUCCGCCGCGAUACCCUUAUCAAAAUAUUAUUUUAAGUCACCCAUAGACUCACUGUUGUUUCACCGUCCAUGAUGAAAAUAUUCGAAAUCCUUUACUCCUUUAGCACAUGGUAUAACUUUACUAUUCCAACGGAUACGAUGUGUCCAACAUCUCAAAUCUCCACUGACUUUUCCAAUAAGUCGUUGUCAAUCUCAUUCUUACUUCUGAAUGUUACAAAACACUCUCUCUGAUACUUUCUUAUUUCCAAACAUCCAAAAAUGAUACUUCGCUCCCAGUUCCAUCUCAACCUCAUAAGGUUUCAUCCAACUCCGACACUAAUCGUCCGAUCAUUAUCCAAAUGAAA